This 252-nucleotide ribosomal RNA is filed under the name uncultured bacterium. Its description in RNAcentral is "partial 16S ribosomal RNA". It matches the Rfam family "Bacterial small subunit ribosomal RNA", at positions 525 to 776 of the family's 1533-position model. The record is from RNAcentral.
ACGAACUGCGCGAACGUUAUUCGGAAUCACUGGGCUUAAAGAGUUCGUAGGCGGCCUGAUCAGUCGGGUGUGAAAUCCCUCGGCUUAACCGAGGAACUGCGCCCGAUACUGUCAGGCUAGAGGGAGACAGGGGUGAGCGGAACUGAUGGUGGAGCGGUGAAAUGCGUUGAUAUCAUCAGGAACACCGGUGGCGAAGGCGGCUCACUGGGUCUCUUCUAACGCUGAGGAACGAAAGCUAGGGGAGCGAACGGG